RNAcentral lists this long non-coding RNA (497 nucleotides) under Medicago truncatula (barrel medic). RNAcentral's name for it is "long non-coding RNA (MTRU_LNC001745)". The record is from RNAcentral. Lineage: Eukaryota; Viridiplantae; Streptophyta; Magnoliopsida; Fabales; Fabaceae.
UCCAUACAAAUUGUAACAAAGUCUCAUCUAACUUUUAGAGGUCCUAAAGUGUUAGGUUGAGCAAAGGUUGUAAAAGUCUAAGUGGUUAACUUAGCAAGAAGGUGCAAGCCUGCUGAGGCUUAGAGAAUACAGGAUUGUAAUUGUUCAGGUGAACAAGAUUGUAAGGUGCAGGAUUUGAGAGGUUAUCUCAAGCAUCAUAGUGGAAACUCUCACAAGAUUGUGAGGAGUGGACUAACCCACAUUGGGUGAACCACUAUAAAUUUCUGUGUGUUCUUUCUCUCUUCCCUAUACUCUUUAAUUACAGUAUACACAACACACACUUACACAUUUACUUUAUUAAACUGUUUAUGUGUAUGAACUUCAGAACGUUCUGAAGUCAGAAUAUUAACUUAACUAUUCCAAGUAAACUACUUGAGAAUCACUUUUAAGUUUCAGGUUAAUUUUUAAAGGGUCACAAUUCAAACCCCCCCUUCCUUGUGACUAUUUUAUCUACUUCA